AGCAGCCGCGGUAAUUCCAGCUCCAAUAGCGUAUAUUAAAGUUGUUGCAGUUAAAAAGCUCGUAGUUGAAUUUCGGGAUUCAUCCGUUGGUCGGGCUUCACGGUCCGUACUGGUGUGAUGGGUUCCUACCUUCUGAAUAACCGGCAUGCCAUUAAUUUGGUGCGCCGGGGAAGCAGAACUAUUACCUUGAAAAAAUUAGAGUGCUUAAAGCAGGCAAGUGCCUGAAUAGGUUAGCAUGGAGUAAUAAAAUAGGACGGCAUGGUUCUAUUUUGUUGGUUUCUAGGAUCACCGUAAUGAUUAAUAGGGAUAGUUGGGGGCAUUAGUAUCCAAUUGUCAGAGGUGAAAUUCUUGGAUUUAUUGAAGACUAACUUCUGCGAAAGCAUUUGCCAAGGAUUUGUUUCAUUAAUCAAGAACGAAAGUUAGGGGAUCGAAGGCGAUCAGAUACCGUCGUAGUCUUAACCAUAAACUAUGCCGACU
RNAcentral lists this ribosomal RNA (477 nucleotides) under uncultured Acaulospora. RNAcentral describes it as "SSU rRNA". It matches the Rfam family "Eukaryotic small subunit ribosomal RNA", at positions 569 to 1047 of the family's 1831-position model. Lineage: Eukaryota; Fungi; Glomeromycota; Glomeromycetes; Diversisporales; Acaulosporaceae. The record is from RNAcentral.